ACUCAAAUGAAUUGACGGGGACUUGCACAAGCAGUGGAUUAUGUGGUUUAAUUCGAUGGUAAACGAAGAACCUCACCAGGGUUUGAAACUUACGUGAAAGCUCCAAGAAACUGGAGCCCUCGCAAGACUAGUAAGCAGGUGAUGCAUGGCCGUCGUCAGUUCGUGGUUUGAAUUGUUCCCUUAAGUGGGGUAACGAACGCAACCCUCGUCGUGUGUUACAAGUGUCACACGAGACCGCCCAGCACUAAGCGCGUAAACAUUUUUAAAAUGUUUGUGAAUUUAGUGCUGGGAGGAAGGAGAGGAUGACGCCAGGUCAGCAUGUCCCUUUGAUAUCCUGGGCUACACACAUAAUACAAUGGCUACUACAACAGGUCGCGACGAGGUAACUCUGAGCUAAUCCUUAUAAAAGUAGCCCCAGUUCGGAUUGAGGUCUGCAACUCGACCUCAUGAAGUUGGAAUUGCUAGUAAUCGCGGGUCAGAUAUACCGCGGUGAAUACGUUCUCAAGUCUUGUACACACCGCCCGU
RNAcentral lists this ribosomal RNA (525 nucleotides) under uncultured bacterium. RNAcentral describes it as "partial 16S ribosomal RNA". It matches the Rfam family "Bacterial small subunit ribosomal RNA", at positions 899 to 1397 of the family's 1533-position model. The record is from RNAcentral.